Molecule: ribosomal RNA, 432 nt
Filed under: Salmonella enterica subsp. enterica serovar Ohio
Lineage: Bacteria; Pseudomonadati; Pseudomonadota; Gammaproteobacteria; Enterobacterales; Enterobacteriaceae
Also listed under: 1 other name
Description: partial 23S ribosomal RNA
Rfam family: Bacterial large subunit ribosomal RNA
Source: RNAcentral
GACUGCGAGCGUGACGGCGCGAGCAGGUGCGAAAGCAGGUCAUAGUGAUCCGGUGGUUCUGAAUGGAAGGGCCAUCGCUCAACGGAUAAAAGGUACUCCGGGGAUAACAGGCUGAUACCGCCCAAGAGUUCAUAUCGACGGCGGUGUUUGGCACCUCGAUGUCGGCUCAUCACAUCCUGGGGCUGAAGUAGGUCCCAAGGGUAUGGCUGUUCGCCAUUUAAAGUGGUACGCGAGCUGGGUUUAGAACGUCGUGAGACAGUUCGGUCCCUAUCUGCCGUGGGCGCUGGAGAACUGAGGGGGGCUGCUCCUAGUACGAGAGGACCGGAGUGGACGCAUCACUGGUGUUCGGGUUGUCAUGCCAAUGGCACUGCCCGGUAGCUAAAUGCGGAAGAGAUAAGUGCUGAAAGCAUCUAAGCACGAAACUUGCCCCGA